RNAcentral lists this ribosomal RNA (301 nucleotides) under uncultured bacterium. RNAcentral describes it as "partial 16S ribosomal RNA". It matches the Rfam family "Bacterial small subunit ribosomal RNA", at positions 509 to 807 of the family's 1533-position model. The record is from RNAcentral.
CAGCAGCCGCGGGAAUACAUAGGUGGCAAGCGUUGUCCGGAAUUAUUGGGCGUAAAGGGCUCGCAGGCGGUUUCUUAAGUCUGAUGUGAGAGCCCCCGGCUCAACCGGGGAGGGUCGUUGGAAACUGGGAAACUUGAGUGCAGAAGAGGAGAGUGGAAUUCCACGUGUAGCGGUGAAAUGCGUAGAGAUGUGGAGGAACACCAGUGGCGAAGGCGACUCUCUGGUCUGUAACUGACGCUGAGGAGCGAAAGCGUGGGGAGCGAACAGGAUUAGAUACCCCUGUAGUCCCUGUCUCUUAUAC